The submitters of this non-coding RNA (80 nucleotides) gave its source as unclassified sequences. The record is from Rfam.
GGACUGAAUCAUGGUGGGGAAUUAAUGUGAAAUUCAUUAGCUGUUCCUGCAACGGUUAAAGUCCGAGUGCCACCCAGUAA